AGAGAGAGACAUGCGCGCAUAUCAAUAAGCGGAGGAAAAGAAACUAACUAGGAUUCCCUCAGUAACGGCGAGUGAAGCGGGAAGAGCUCAAAUUUGAAAUCUUCAAGGUUCUACCUUGACGAAUUGUAGUUUAAAGAAGUGUUUUCUGUUGGAGUUUUGGUAAAAGUUCUUUGGAAUAGGACAUCAUAGAGGGUGAGAAUCCCGUAUUUGACCAUUUACUUUCAAGCUUUGUGAUACACUUUCAAAGAGUCGGAUUGUUUGGGAAUGCAGUCCAAAAUGGGUGGUAAAUUUCAUCUAAAGCUAAAUAUUGGCGAGAGACCGAUAGCGAACAAGUACCGUGAGGGAAAGAUGAAAAGAACUUUGAAAAGAGAGUUAAACAGUACGUGAAAUUGUCAAAAGGGAAGCGUUUGACACCAGUGUUGUUUUUCUGAAAAUCAAUUAAAGAACUGUUUAUGCUAAGCUGUUUAGACUUUAUCAGCUAUCUGUUUAGUUUUGAGCUUUUCUUUAAUGCACUUUUCAGUUAACAAGUCAACAUCAAUUUCUUUUGCUGUAAAAAAGCUUGAGGAAGGUGGCUUGAGAUUCGUCUUAAGUGUUUAUAGCCUCUUGCCUAUGCAGUCGGAGAGAUUGAGGUCUGCAGCGUAGAUCCUUCGGGGCUAAAUGCAUUUGUGCUAAGUUAUAACAUUUUAUAGACAACUUGUUGACUAUGAUUUGUCUUGUAGCUUACUCGCUUAUGUUAUUUUACCUACGCUUAGGAUGUUGAUGUGAUACUGCGAGC
This 775-nucleotide ribosomal RNA is filed under the name uncultured Neocallimastigales. Its description in RNAcentral is "partial large subunit ribosomal RNA". It matches the Rfam family "Eukaryotic large subunit ribosomal RNA", at positions 23 to 645 of the family's 3401-position model. The record is from RNAcentral. Lineage: Eukaryota; Fungi; Neocallimastigomycota; Neocallimastigomycetes; Neocallimastigales.